Molecule: small RNA, 29 nt
Filed under: Bombyx mori (domestic silkworm)
Lineage: Eukaryota; Metazoa; Arthropoda; Insecta; Lepidoptera; Bombycidae
Description: ovarian small RNA-1669
Source: RNAcentral
AAGCGGCGAGACCACGCCUCCAGCACGGA